Clostridium homopropionicum DSM 5847 is the source of this 92-nucleotide non-coding RNA. The record is from Rfam. NCBI's taxonomy places the organism in Bacteria, Bacillati, Bacillota, Clostridia, Eubacteriales, Clostridiaceae.
GCGAGCCGAAUACAUUGAAAGGUGUACGUUCGGUUCUGAGGGAGGGCUAUAUAAAUCUACCUAUAAGGAAAGGCGAUAUAGUUCUACCCUAC